AAAAUGCUUUAGGUAUAAAUUUUUUAUAUAAAAACAAACACUGACAAACUGGGACAAUCUGAAAUGUUUUCGGUACAUAAGAACCACCGUACGUGGGCCUACGUGAAAUGAGGUUGAGUGUGUGAAUCAGAUGAUGUGGAUAGGUGAAUUUGAAUCAUUUUGCUAUAUCAAUAUAUUGUAUGUGGCACUAUGUGCAUUUUAAUACAAAUAUGUGAAAUAUUUUGUGUCAGUGUGUGACAUUCAUAUAAUAUAAACACAAAUUACACUUCAUUUUAGGACGCAUCAAGUUUAAGUUAAUGGUGGUGCUGCAUUCAUAUAUGUUAUUUUAGUAGGU
Non-coding RNA from Paramuricea clavata, 334 nucleotides. Lineage: Eukaryota; Metazoa; Cnidaria; Anthozoa; Malacalcyonacea; Plexauridae. The record is from the annotation of a GenBank genome assembly.